CCUACGGGAGGCAGCAGUAGGGAAUCUUUCACAAUGGGCGAAAGCCUGAUGGAGCAACGCCGCGUGCAGGAUGAAGGCCUUCGGGUUGUAAACUGCUUUUAUAAGCGAGAAAUAUGAUGGUAACUUAUGAAUAAGGAUCGGCUAACUCCGUGCCAGCAGCCGCGGUAAUACGGAGGAUGCGAGCGUUAUCCGGAUUUAUUGGGUUUAAAGGGUGCGCAGGCGGAAGAUCAAGUCAGCGGUAAAAUUGAGAGGCUCAACCUCUUCGAGCCGUUGAAACUGGUUUUCUUGAGUGAGCGAGAAGUAUGCGGAAUGCGUGGUGUAGCGGUGAAAUGCAUAGAUAUCACGCAGAACUCCGAUUGCGAAGGCAGCAUACCGGCGCUCAACUGACGCUCAUGCACGAAAGUGUGGGUAUCGAACAGGAUUAGAUACCCGGGUAGUC
Molecule: ribosomal RNA, 439 nt
Filed under: uncultured bacterium
Lineage: Bacteria
Description: partial 16S ribosomal RNA
Rfam family: Bacterial small subunit ribosomal RNA
Source: RNAcentral